This 253-nucleotide ribosomal RNA is filed under the name uncultured bacterium. RNAcentral's name for it is "partial 16S ribosomal RNA". It matches the Rfam family "Bacterial small subunit ribosomal RNA", at positions 524 to 776 of the family's 1533-position model. The record is from RNAcentral.
UACGGGGGGGGCAAGCGUUGUUCGGAAUUACUGGGCGUAAAGGGCUCGUAGGCGGCCAACUAAGUCGGAUGUGAAAUCCCCAGGCUCAACUUGGGAACUGCAUCCGAUACUGGAUGGCUUGAAUUCAGGAGAGGGAUGCAGAAUUCCAGGUGUAGCGGUGAAAUGCGUAGAUAUCUGGAGGAAUACCGGUGGCGAAGGCGGCAUCCUGGACCGACAUUGACGCUGAGGAGCGAAAGCUAGGGGAGCAAACGGG